CAAUAGCGUAUAUUAAAGUUGUUGCGGUUAAAAAGCUCGUAGUUGGAUUUCUGCUGAGGACGACCGGUCCGCCCUCUGGGUGAGUAUCUGGCUCGGCCUUGGCAUCUUCUUGGAGAACGUAACUGCACUUGACUGUGUGGUACGGUAUCCAGGACUUUUACUUUGAGGAAAUUAGAGUGUUUCAAGCAGGCGCACGCCUUGAAUACAUUAGCAUGGAAUAAUAAGAUAGGACCUUGGUUCUAUUUUGUUGGUUUCUAGAGCUGAGGUAAUGAUUAAUAGGGAUAGUUGGGGGCAUUCGUAUUUAACUGUCAGAGGUGAAAUUCUUGGACCGUCUGAAGACUAACUACUGCGAAAGCAUUUGCCAAGAGUGUUUUCAUUAAUCAAGAACGAAAGUUAGAGGUUCGAAGAUGAUCAGAUACCAU
RNAcentral lists this ribosomal RNA (422 nucleotides) under uncultured eukaryote. RNAcentral's name for it is "SSU rRNA". It matches the Rfam family "Eukaryotic small subunit ribosomal RNA", at positions 592 to 1018 of the family's 1831-position model. The record is from RNAcentral.